RNAcentral lists this ribosomal RNA (305 nucleotides) under uncultured bacterium. RNAcentral's name for it is "partial 16S ribosomal RNA". It matches the Rfam family "Bacterial small subunit ribosomal RNA", at positions 337 to 655 of the family's 1533-position model. The record is from RNAcentral.
UCCUACGGGGGGCAGCAGUGGGGGAUAUUGGACAAUGGGGGGAACCCUGAUCCAGCGACGCCGCGUGAGUGAAGAAGUAUUUCGGUAUGUAAAGCUCUGUCAGCAGGGAAGAAAGAAAUGACGGUACCUGACCAAGAAGCCCCGGCUAACUACGUGCCAGCAGCCGCGGUAAUACGUAGGGGGGCAAGCGUUAUCCGGAUUUACUGGGUGUAAAGGGAGCGUAGACGGAGGACCAAGUCUGAUGUGAAAAUCCGGGGCCCAACCCCGGAACUGCAUUGGAAACUGUUUAUCUAGAGUGUCGGAGG